Long non-coding RNA from Glossina fuscipes, 337 nucleotides. RefSeq lists it as uncharacterized. The transcript is spliced from 2 exons. The record is from RefSeq and is a predicted model, not a curated record. NCBI's taxonomy places the organism in Eukaryota, Metazoa, Arthropoda, Insecta, Diptera, Glossinidae.
AAAGAAAUCUGUAAUAUCAUCAAGCCUGUGACAUCUAAAGAUUAGAUGCUUAGCAGACACGACAACAUUGCAAACUUCUCAAACAUCACAUGAAAAGGCGAUUGGAUUUAACGCGUGCGAUUUCUUUAAAUUCGUCGUUUAGCUGUGGAAGGAUGUGGUUGCGAAUUGCCCGGAUUGCUUCAUUAGGAGUGUAUUUGACGGACAGAAUUAUCCCAUCAACACGAGCUCUCCCUGCAUGAAAGUCGGCUUUUAAAUUAAAAAAAAAACCGCAGUGGCCAGGUACCCAAACAAGGUGACAGUCAUCCACUUGAGUCUCAUGCAACAUCUUAUGAAUUUC